Non-coding RNA from Durio zibethinus, 991 nucleotides. The record is from RefSeq and is a predicted model, not a curated record. NCBI's taxonomy places the organism in Eukaryota, Viridiplantae, Streptophyta, Magnoliopsida, Malvales, Malvaceae.
GACUGAAGUUUUAGGAUAGGAAGUCUGAUGGGAUACAAAACAAGGUCGGGGGUGUGAGGUUUAUCAUAUAGGUGUAUCCAUGAACAAGAUUUCAGCUAGCCGCCAAAUUGCAUUGCCCACCUGUUGAAUAAAGGAAGGAAACAAGUUCCUUGCAAGGUUAUUGAAGUUUUGAUGAUAGAUAAUGAAACACGGUAUUACUAUCAGUUAUCGGUAUUACUCUUUACUGGUGAUAAACUAAAAUACUAUUUCUCUAUCCCUAAGAGAACAGCAUCUAUGUUUUCACUUUGCUACACCUCUGAUGCAGUCAUAAAGAAGCCUUGGAUAAAGAAAUUGUGUUUUUUAUUCUUCAACUUUGUAUUUUGAUUUAGGUUUCUAUGAAAUUUUAGUCGUAGGAUUCAAGGCUAUUUAUAUGUUGGUUAGUUUGCCAGGGCUGGAAAUUUUGUUUAGUUUCAUUUGCUUCCUAUUAUUUAGGGGUUAUUUAUUGUUCAAUAUUUUUCAUUUAAAUCAAAAUCAGAGAACUCCACAUAUAUUUUAUUAUUGUGCUCCUUCAUUGUUAGUUUUGGAGUUUGAACAUAGAAAUCUUAUUCUCUCCAACUCUAUUUGUUUUCUCUUCUCUAUAGUUUCUUGCUUUUCUUCCUUCUCUUUCUCUGUCUCUUUCUGUUCUGUGUAUUAUCUCUCUUUCUCCUCUUGUUGGAAUUUUGCAACCAAGUCCUCUCACUGAUAGCCAAGGUACUAAUAUAACAUACAGAAAACUUGGAAUUAGGGUUUUUCUCGGCCAACUGCCUACCACACAAACAUCAAGAACUCUGAGAGUACAUCAUCAGUUCUCUAAAGUUGUCUUUUGCUGGACAAAACCUGCAUUCAUAAAGGUUAAGAGGAGCAACUCUUCAAACUCUACCGUGAACAGUAAUCUUUCGGAGCAGGAAGAAUGAAAAAUUCAGGAAGGUCAUGGCAUCUUUUUCUCUCUAUUUCUAUAACUCGCCAUAGCAGA